AUCUUUGAACGCACCUUGCGCUCCUUGGUAUUCCGAGGAGCAUGCCUGUUUGAGUGUCAUUAAAUUCUCAAAAGUCUUUCUUUAGACUUUUUGGACUUGGAGUGUUUGCUGGCUUUAUCAAAGUCAGCUCCUCUUAAAUGUAUUAGCUUGUGC
This 153-nucleotide ribosomal RNA is filed under the name Hygrophorus russula. RNAcentral's name for it is "5.8S ribosomal RNA". The stretch from base 1 to 59 matches the Rfam family "5.8S ribosomal RNA", at positions 96 to 154 of the family's 154-position model. Lineage: Eukaryota; Fungi; Basidiomycota; Agaricomycetes; Agaricales; Hygrophoraceae. The record is from RNAcentral.